RNAcentral lists this ribosomal RNA (462 nucleotides) under Salmonella enterica. RNAcentral's name for it is "partial 23S ribosomal RNA". It matches the Rfam family "Bacterial large subunit ribosomal RNA", at positions 1295 to 1757 of the family's 2925-position model. Lineage: Bacteria; Pseudomonadati; Pseudomonadota; Gammaproteobacteria; Enterobacterales; Enterobacteriaceae. The record is from RNAcentral. RNAcentral also lists the same sequence under 1 other name.
UGCUGACAUAAGUAACGAUAAAGCGGGUGAAAAGCCCGCUCGCCGGAAGACCAAGGGUUCCUGUCCAACGUUAAUCGGGGCAGGGUGAGUCGACCCCUAAGGCGAGGCCGAAAGGCGUAGUCGAUGGGAAACGGGUUAAUAUUCCCGUACUUGGUGUUACUGCGAAGGGGGGACGGAGAAGGCUAUGUUGGCCGGGCGACGGUUGUCCCGGUUUAAGCGUGUAGGUGUGUGUUCCAGGUAAAUCCGGUUCACUUUAACACUGAGGCGUGACGACGAGGCACUACGGUGCUGAAGCAACAAAUGCCCUGCUUCCAGGAAAAGCCUCUAAGCAUCAGGUAACAUCAAAUCGUACCCCAAACCGACACAGGUGGUCAGGUAGAGAAUACCAAGGCGCUUGAGAGAACUCGGGUGAAGGAACUAGGCAAAAUGGUGCCGUAACUUCGGGAGAAGGCACGCUGACAC